UUUGAAUGCAAAAAAGAAUUAAGAAGAGCUUAACAAGGUCAUUAAGGGAAUUAAAAGUUCUUUCUAACCUCUGAGAAGUGUGCCUAGCUAGGUACCUAUGCUUUUCUGUAGCCUCAUUCUGUAGAUUCCCUUUCCCAUGCCUGCUGUGAGGAAGCAAGCUGCUAUGAGUCCUAUAUCCACAAGGAACUGAAUUCUGCCAACAAACACAUGAUCCAGGAGGAGGAUCCUUUUCUAUCCAGCCCUUCAGAUGAGAUGACAGCCUGGCUAAUACAUUAACAGCAGUCUUGUAAGAGACGACACAAGGCCAACCCAAGACACCACAUCAGGCUCAUCCAAAAUCCUGCUGAAGCUUCUCGCUUUUUCCUGAGGUGAAGGAGUGAGAGUGGGUGACAGUGAUUGCAAGCAACAGUUCAAACCAACUCCUUUACCAAUCAUCUUUUUCACAUUCUCUAAAAUUUGUUUACCCUUACUGCUGUUUAAGAGAUUAAGACUCAUGGAACUGAUCAUUGAGCACUUCCUUUGUAAAUUCUGUGCACAGGGAUUUGUCUCACAGUCAUGGUCUGUGAUAUGAUUCUACGGCAAUGCUAUGGAAUGUUGGCAAGAAAAGUACUACUAUAACAACCUAUCACAUAUGGUAUUCACAAG
Long non-coding RNA from Heterocephalus glaber (naked mole-rat), 645 nucleotides. NCBI's taxonomy places the organism in Eukaryota, Metazoa, Chordata, Mammalia, Rodentia, Bathyergidae. The record is from Ensembl.